Molecule: long non-coding RNA, 306 nt
Organism: Perca fluviatilis (European perch)
Lineage: Eukaryota; Metazoa; Chordata; Actinopteri; Perciformes; Percidae
Exons: 3
Source: RefSeq, a predicted model, not a curated record
GAUCCUUUUUCAGCAGUGCACUGUUUAAAAACCCUUGUUUCAUGCUAGCUGUCUCUUUUUUUAGAUGCUUUUUCUAGCUAGUCUGGUAGCUAGCUAGAUAGCUACCACGUUUUUCCUCAUCAAAAAAAAAACCCCUCUGGAGUUUCACUUUUAAUUCUUCUUGGUGAAAGCAACGCAGGUGUUUCGUUUUUUCAGCAAUACCUACUAGUGGCUUCCUCAACAAAUACCUCUGAAGAAAAGAGGAUUCGUUUCUACAGAAAUGGCUGCGUUUGUUUGCGUCAUUAGGUGAUUUUACAAAGAGCUGGG